RNAcentral lists this ribosomal RNA (253 nucleotides) under uncultured prokaryote. RNAcentral's name for it is "partial 16S ribosomal RNA". It matches the Rfam family "Bacterial small subunit ribosomal RNA", at positions 524 to 776 of the family's 1533-position model. The record is from RNAcentral.
UACGUAGGGACCAAGCGUUGUUCGGAUUUACUGGGCGUAAAGGGCGCGUAGGCGGCGCUGUUAGUCACUUGUGAAAUCUCCGGGCUUAACUCGGAACGGCCAAGUGAUACUGCAGUGCUAGAGUGCGGAAGGGGCAAUCGGAAUUCUCGGUGUAGCGGUGAAAUGCGUAGAUAUCGAGAGGAACACCUGCGGCGAAGGCGGGUUGCUGGGCUGACACUGACGCUGAUGCGCGAAAGCUAGGGGAGCGAACGGG